AGAAAGUMUGACGCAGCGACGCCGCGUGGAGGAUGAAGGUUUUCGGAUCGUAAACUCCUGUCAAGAGGGAWGAAACMUAUUAGGAAUMACACUCSUAGUAAUYGACGGUACCUMUASAGGAAGCACCGGMUAAUUCAGYGCCAGCAGCCGCGGUAAUACUGAAGGUGCAAGCGUUAAUMGGAAUCACUGGGCGUAAAGCGCUMGUAGGUGGCUUUGUAAGUCAGAUGUGAAAGCCCACGGCUCAACCGUGGAAUUGCAUUUGAUASUGCAUCGSUAGAGUAUAGGAGAGGGAAGUGGAAUUUSUGGUGUAGGAGUGAAAUCCGUAGAGAUCAGAAGSAACACCGGUGGCGAAGGCGAYUUCCUGGACUAUUACUGACACUGMGGAGCGAAAGCGUGGGGAGCAAACAGGAUUAGAUACCCUGGUAGUCC
This 429-nucleotide ribosomal RNA is filed under the name uncultured bacterium. RNAcentral's name for it is "partial 16S ribosomal RNA". It matches the Rfam family "Bacterial small subunit ribosomal RNA", at positions 376 to 796 of the family's 1533-position model. The record is from RNAcentral.